UCGGGAAUUUUGGGCAAUGGGGGAAACCCUGACCCAGCAACGCCGCGUGAAGGAUGAAGUAUUUCGGUAUGUAAACUUCGAAAGAAUAGGAAGAAUAAAUGACGGUACUAUUUAUAAGGUCCGGCUAACUACGUGCCAGCAGCCGCGGUAAUACGUAGGGACCAAGCGUUGUUCGGAUUUACUGGGCGUAAAGGGCGCGUAGGCGGCAUGACAAGUCACUUGUGAAAUCUCUGGGCUUAACCCAGAACGGCCAAGUGAUACUGUCGCGCUAGAGUGCAGAAGGGGCAAUCGGAAUUCUUGGUGUAGCGGUGAAAUGCGUAGAUAUCAAGAGGAACACCUGAGGUGAAGACGGGUUGCUGGGCUGACACUGACGCUGAGGCGCGAAAGCCAGGGGAGCAAACAGGAUUAGAUACCCCUGUAGUCCCUGAGCGGGCUGGCAAGGCGCAU
This 447-nucleotide ribosomal RNA is filed under the name uncultured bacterium. Its description in RNAcentral is "bacterial SSU rRNA". It matches the Rfam family "Bacterial small subunit ribosomal RNA", at positions 355 to 825 of the family's 1533-position model. The record is from RNAcentral.